This 501-nucleotide unclassified non-coding RNA is filed under the name Hevea brasiliensis (rubber tree). Lineage: Eukaryota; Viridiplantae; Streptophyta; Magnoliopsida; Malpighiales; Euphorbiaceae. The record is from RNAcentral.
UCAAAGGGCAUUGAGAAGGCGUCAGAACUAUCUUGUUGGAGCAACAAAGUCAAUGCUACUGAUAAAUGCCUACCAUCAGAUGGCAAUGCUAGCGGUGGCAUAUCACAACAUGAUAGACCUUCGGGCUCUAGGAGUUCAGCUGAUGAUGGAUGCUCUUCUCGGAAGCGUGCUAGGAAGGAGGGAGGUGGCUUUUUAGAUCUGAACUUGCCAGCAGAGAUUAUGGAUAGAAACUGAAUUCAGUCUGAGUGCAGACUUGAUACAACUACAAAGUGUACAGCUCUAACUCAAGGCCCUUUCCUUCAUGGAAUUGAUCAUUUGUGGAUUAAGCACCACAAAGUGCUUUGCCUUUUACCCUUAAUAGCUUUUUGUUCAGCAUUUGACUUGCUUUCCCUCAAUGGGGGAUGUCCUGGAAUAGAAAUUUGUUUCCAAGCGUUUUUUGUGUUGUGCAUAGUCGUUUAUUGGGUUUUUGUGGGGAUAGAUAUGUAAAUUCUCUAGCUGGGG